AUGGAUCCAGCCCCCGCCGACGAGAACCCCCUCGCCGCCCUCUCUCUCCGCGGGUCCGAUCUGCCCGCGCACUUCGCUGCCGGCCACGAGAUCGACGAGGAGGACGAGGACGAUGGAUAUGCAACGGCCGCCGCGUGGAGGGAGGGGCUCGAUGAAGAGGACGGCGGCGCCGCCUCUCCCAGCCCCAGAAGCAGCCUCGCCUCCAGCACCGGCGCCGGCGGCAUCGAGGAGCCCGACGCCGCCCCGCCCCUCGCCCCCAGCGCCGAGGACUGGGCGCAGGGCAAGAAGCACGCCGACGAGGAUGAUGGUUCAGCUUCAUGGAGGAAGAGGAAAAAACAUUUCUUCAUCUUGAGCAAUUCCGGCAAGCCAAUAUACUCUAGGUAUGGAGAUGAGCACAAGUUAGCUGGAUUUUCUGCUACAUUGCAGGCGAUUGUUUCUUUUGUUGAGGACAGUGCUGACCAUAUCAAAUUUGUGAGAGCUGGAAAACAUCAGAUAGUUUUCCUUGUGAAAGGUCCUAUAUAUUUAGUUUGUAUAAGCUGCACCGAAGAGUCAUUUGAAGGAUUGAGGGGACAACUAGAGCUCAUGUAUGGCCAGAUGUUGCUUAUUUUGACAAAGUCGGUCAACAGGUGCUUUGAGAAGAAUCCCAAAUUUGAUAUGGCACCGCUUCUAGGUGGCACAGAUGUGGUUUUCCGAUCUCUUAUACAUGCGUUCAGCUGGAAUCCUGCUACAUUUCUUCAUGCAUACACAUGCCUUCCCCUUGCCCAAGCAACAAGACAGGCUGCUAGCACAGCUUUGCAGGACAUUGCUGAUUCAGGUGUUCUAUUUGCACUGUUGAUGUGUGAUCACAAGGUUAUUAGUCUUGUGGGAGCACAAAAGGCAACUUUGCAUCCUGAUGAUAUAUUACCACUUGCAAAUUUCAUAUUGUCCUCCGAAUCUUUUAGGACUUCAGAGUCUUUUUCACCCAUAUGCUUGCCAAGAUACAAUCCUAUGGCCUUCUUAUACGCUUAUGUUCAUUUUUUUGAUGAAAAUACUUACUUGACUCUUCUUACUCCGAGAUCAGAUGCCUUUUAUGAUUUGAAAGAUUCAAGGGCCCGUAUUCAGGAUGUUCUAUUGAAAUCGAAUGUCCUUCUCGAAGUACAAAGGUCUUUACAUGAAAAUGUACUGCAUGUUGAAGAUGUCCCUAUUGAUCUUUCUUCUCAAUCUACAUCAGCUCCUGCACAGUCUUCUCAAGGCCUAAAUUCUCAACCGUUGUCUUCUGAUGAGGCAAUUGGUGGACCAGCUGGACUGUGGCAUUUUGUAUACAAAAGUGUUUAUCUUGACCAGUAUGUAUCAUCUGAGUUUGCCUUGCCCAUAAGAAAUCCAAAGCAACAGAAGAGAUUGUACAAGGCUUAUCAAAAGGUUUAUGCUUCCAUGCAUGAUAAAGCAACUGGUCCACACAGAACUCAAUUCAGAAGACAUGAGGAUUAUGUUAUGUUUAGCUGGAUAACCCAGGAUUUUGAGCUGUAUGCCGCCUUCAGUCCACUGGCUGACAAGACCCAAGCGAUUAAGGUAUGCAACAGAGUAUGCCAGUGGAUCAGGGAUCUACAAGACACACUGUUCAUACAUGGAGAAAGCACCAUUGCCUGGUGA
This 1629-nucleotide ribosomal RNA is filed under the name Triticum aestivum (bread wheat). RNAcentral's name for it is "partial small subunit ribosomal RNA". The record is from RNAcentral. Lineage: Eukaryota; Viridiplantae; Streptophyta; Magnoliopsida; Poales; Poaceae.